UACGUAGGGGGCAAGCGUUGUCCGGAAUCAUUGGGCGUAAAGCGCGCGUAGGCGGCCAGGUAAGUCCGUUCUGAAAGCCCGGGGCUCAACCCCGGGAGGCGGAUGGAUACUGCUUGGCUCGAGUCCGGAAGAGGCGAGUGGAAUUCCCGGUGUAGCGGUGAAAUGCGCAGAUAUCGGGAGGAACACCAAUGGCGAAGGCAGCUCGCUGGGACGGUACUGACGCUGAGACGCGAAAGCGUGGGGAGCAAACAGG
Molecule: ribosomal RNA, 253 nt
Filed under: uncultured bacterium
Lineage: Bacteria
Description: partial 16S ribosomal RNA
Rfam family: Bacterial small subunit ribosomal RNA
Source: RNAcentral